UUUAAAGAGAGUUUGAUCCUGGCUCAGGACGAACGCUGGCGGCGUGCCUAAUACAUGCAAGUCGAACGAACG
RNAcentral lists this ribosomal RNA (72 nucleotides) under Listeria monocytogenes. RNAcentral's name for it is "partial 16S ribosomal RNA". It matches the Rfam family "Bacterial small subunit ribosomal RNA", at positions 1 to 72 of the family's 1533-position model. The record is from RNAcentral. Lineage: Bacteria; Bacillati; Bacillota; Bacilli; Caryophanales; Listeriaceae. RNAcentral also lists the same sequence under 1 other name.